UUCCUAAAUAGUAAAAAAGAAGGGAAAACUUUAGAAACCUCCAUGUGGUUUCAUAUUUUCUCACUUUAGUACCAAUGGUUUAAAGUGUAUCAAUUUAGCGUCUUGUGGUUUCAUUUUUCUCUUUUUAUUAUCCAUUUUACUAUUUUUUUCUUAAAUCAGUGAUAAAGUUAAAAUUAAAGGGUAUUAAAGUGAAUAUUCGAUAAACCUUGGUGGGUAUUUGAUGUUUUUUUGUAUAUAAUUUAACGAAAUAUUAACGAAAAGGCUGUCGAAAAGAUAAAAAUAAAAUCACCUGGUACCAAAUUGAUACACUUUAAACUACAAGAUAUUAAAGUGAGAAAGUGCGAAACCACAUGAGAUUUUUUGAAGUUUUUUCAAAAAAAAAAAAAAAAAAAGCACAUGUCCUUGAUUAUUCUCUGAACCCCUACUUCCAAAUUAUUGUUUUUCACAUGUCACUCCCUGACACCAAAUGCAAAGACAUAGAAGGGACAGCUUAUGUGUAUAUUAGUGUGUGUAAUAAAGGACAUUAUCAUGUUACUUUAAUAAUUAUAAUAAUGUAAUAAUAAUACAAUAAUAACGUAGGGAGAGUACUAUAUUGGAUAAUAAUAAUAAUAAUAAUAAUGAUGAUGAUAAUGAUUUAUGAUAAUAAUAAGAAUUGAGGUUCUGAACUUUUUAAAAUAUAUAAUUAUUUAUAUUUAUAAUUUUUUAGGUGUCGAAUUGUCUUGAAAUUCAUUCAAUAUUAUUAAUAGUGUGUCCCCUUAAAUUAUCUUUGCUACUGUUAUAUGAAUUUUGAAACGAUAUGACGGCUAGGUCAAUUCUAAUAAUAAUGAUAAUAAUAAUAAUAAAAUUUGAUGCAGUUUGGCCAUUAAGAUGGUGUUUGGUUUUUCGAAAACUAUUUUAGAAAACUGGCAAAAUAUUUUUUUUCGGUUUGAUUCUCAGAAAAGUAAUAUUUUUUUAAAAAAUUAUUUUUUAAGAUUUUAUGGAAAAGUCUAUUAUUGUUUUUUAAUUUUUUCGUGACAUUUAGUUUUAACUUUGUCACUGAUUUAACGAAAAAAAAUAGUGGAUGGAAUAACAAAAAAAGAAAAAAAUAAAAUCACAGAAUACGAAAGUAAUACCAUUUAAACCAUAAUAGGGUAGUAAAGUGCGAAAGUAUGAAACUACAUGGAUGAUAUUUUAAACUUUUUCUAAUAUUUUUAUGUCAAUAUUUUUAUUUUUCCCGUUUGAACUCAAAACUUUUUCUUAUGCUCAGAGCAUAAAACUUGAUAAAUAUCAUCUCUAUUUUAAGAGUAAGAAAAAAAAAUUUGCGUCUAAUUCGAAGGAAGAACCUACUGGCAUCUGACAUUUUGAGAAGCAUUGAUGAACUAUUUGGUCGUAUGCAGUUACAACUGUAUGCAAAUUCAAAUUUUGGUUUAGUUUGAUGUAUUUGAAUUUUACUGCUACAGUUAAACUAUAUGAGGAGGCUUGAUUACAGCAGUCGGAACUACUCUCAAAUUAGUCGCUGUUCAAACUACAAAAAGUAAAUUUACCUCCCUUAUAACCUUUUAAACAAAAUAUUAGGACAAAUGAGAAAAAGAUCUAAUUUGUCAGAUCAGAAAAUACCAAAUGACAAUCGAGUAACAAAAAAGAGAAAUAAGUAUAUAAAUAUUUACGUGGUUGGAUCACUAAUUUAUGACUACGAGGAAUGGCAGAGCGGAAACUUUAAUUACAAUCAAAAUAGAGUAUAAAAGAAUACCUCUCUCAGAAAACUCUAAUCCCAAAACACAUGCAAAUUAAUUUUAGCCUAAAAAGGUAGGAAUAAUUCUAAUGUAACAAAAGCCUCAAUAGAACUAGAAAUAUUUCAAGUGAGAUUAGAAAAAAUUUCUAUACGAGUAGCAAUAAUCCCAACUUAACUAAAUAAAUUAAUCAAAACAGCAUAUAAUUAGAAAAUCUUCCAACUCCAAAAUUUGAGACACAUUUAAGACGACUAUAUAGGGACAAAUUUCAAAGCAUAAUAAAAUCCAUCAGGCGGGCAUAAAAUGAAUGAUCAAAAUUGAACGAUCUCCUAAAAAUAGAUAAUUUGAUUCUUUAAUAUAAGAUCUAAGUUAUAGAUCUCUAUCUAUACAGUCGUUUUCGAUGAUAGAGUUUUCGCAUCGACGAUCCGUAUUAUUAAAUAUGAUUUAAAGCAUUUGAAACUUUUAUCGUCCUGCAUAGGGGGUGAAUUGCAUCACUCCAUAUAUAAAUUAAUAAAAUUUUAUAAAUGUUCUUCUUUAUCGUAUAUAGCUAAACAAAUUAUUUAUAGUUACAGCAUUUUCUGCUAAAUCCAACCAAAUAAUAUGCAUAUGAUUAUAAGGGAAAACUUCAAAUACCCCCCGUGGUUUCGCACUUUUUCACUUUAGUACCCUGUAGUUUAAAGUGUAUCCAAUUAGUACCCUAUGUUUUCGCACUUUCUCACUUUAGUAUUCUGUGGUUUCACGUGUAUCAAGUUAGUACCCUGUGGUUUUAUUUUUAUAUCAAGUUAGUACUCUGUGGUUUCAUUUUUUUUUUUUUAUUAUCCAUAUCAGGAUAUAUUAAUUUAACGAAAUAUUAAACCACAGGGUACUAAAGUGAGAAAGUCAAAAAUCACAGAGUACUAACUUGAUAUACUUGAAACCACAUGAUACUAAAGUGAGAAAGUGCAAAACCACAGGGUACUAAUUUGACACACUCUAAACCACAGGAUACUAAAGUGAGAAAGUGCGAAACCACAUAAGGGGUAUUUGAAUUUUUUCCUAAUUUUAACUACUGUAUUUUCAACUGUACUGCAUUUGCUGGUGCAUCCAGGCAAGCAUC
RNAcentral lists this long non-coding RNA (2805 nucleotides) under Ananas comosus (pineapple). RNAcentral describes it as "long non-coding RNA (ACOM_LNC020261)". The record is from RNAcentral. Lineage: Eukaryota; Viridiplantae; Streptophyta; Magnoliopsida; Poales; Bromeliaceae.